UUUUCGUACCACGGCGAGGCCGGAUUCCUGUUUUAUCAUGAAUAUUCAUUAGGCAGGGUCGGGGAAAGUCUCGAUUCUCUUAAAUAUUCAUAUCGAGGUGGGAAUGCACGACGCGCGCUAUACUCGCACAAAGUGAGAAGAUUUAGUUCACGGAGAAUGCAUAUGGAUUGAAACUGAAGAGCUGGAAGGAGGACAUUACAACAUCUCUUAUAUUUGCAAGAUGAAGCAGAAAGUCCCAUGCAGGAUGAUGCCUCUCUACAGUGGAUGAUGAAGGCAUUCUGGUUUGCAAACUCAGGAGAGGAACAAAGAACAGAUGUUGACGGGAUCAUAUCUAGAGAUGCGGGCCUACUACACUUCAUACGAGCAAGUGUGCUAAUAUACAUGAAGGUACCCCCAAUAAAUUUUUGUGGAACAAAUGUCAUGGAGAAAAUUAUAGAUCUGAAACAGAUAUUUUUCAUUGUCAGUUGACUUGUAAAAGAAUAAUUGACUUAAUAUCACAAUUGUAAUUUAGAUUAAAAAUUAAAUGUCAAUAU
Molecule: long non-coding RNA, 533 nt
Organism: Strongylocentrotus purpuratus (purple sea urchin)
Lineage: Eukaryota; Metazoa; Echinodermata; Echinoidea; Camarodonta; Strongylocentrotidae
Exons: 3
Source: RefSeq, a predicted model, not a curated record